Molecule: ribosomal RNA, 1335 nt
Filed under: Staphylococcus aureus
Lineage: Bacteria; Bacillati; Bacillota; Bacilli; Caryophanales; Staphylococcaceae
Description: partial 23S ribosomal RNA
Rfam family: Bacterial large subunit ribosomal RNA
Source: RNAcentral
GGGGAGAAGACAUUGUGUCUUCGAGUCGUUGAUUUCACACUGCCGAGAAAAGCCUCUAGAUAGAAAAUAGGUGCCCGUACCGCAAACCGACACAGGUAGUCAAGAUGAGAAUUCUAAGGUGAGCGAGCGAACUCUCGUUAAGGAACUCGGCAAAAUGACCCCGUAACUUCGGGAGAAGGGGUGCUCUUUAGGGUUAACGCCCAGAAGAGCCGCAGUGAAUAGGCCCAAGCGACUGUUUAUCAAAAACACAGGUCUCUGCUAAACCGUAAGGUGAUGUAUAGGGGCUGACGCCUGCCCGGUGCUGGAAGGUUAAGAGGAGUGGUUAGCUUCUGCGAAGCUACGAAUCGAAGCCCCAGUAAACGGCGGCCGUAACUAUAACGGUCCUAAGGUAGCGAAAUUCCUUGUCGGGUAAGUUCCGACCCGCACGAAAGGCGUAACGAUUUGGGCACUGUCUCAACGAGAGACUCGGUGAAAUCAUAGUACCUGUGAAGAUGCAGGUUACCCGCGACAGGACGGAAAGACCCCGUGGAGCUUUACUGUAGCCUGAUAUUGAAAUUCGGCACAGCUUGUACAGGAUAGGUAGGAGCCUUUGAAACGUGAGCGCUAGCUUACGUGGAGGCGCUGGUGGGAUACUACCCUAGCUGUGUUGGCUUUCUAACCCGCACCACUUAUCGUGGUGGGAGACAGUGUCAGGCGGGCAGUUUGACUGGGGCGGUCGCCUCCUAAAAGGUAACGGAGGCGCUCAAAGGUUCCCUCAGAAUGGUUGGAAAUCAUUCAUAGAGUGUAAAGGCAUAAGGGAGCUUGACUGCGAGACCUACAAGUCGAGCAGGGUCGAAAGACGGACUUAGUGAUCCGGUGGUUCCGCAUGGAAGGGCCAUCGCUCAACGGAUAAAAGCUACCCCGGGGAUAACAGGCUUAUCUCCCCCAAGAGUUCACAUCGACGGGGAGGUUUGGCACCUCGAUGUCGGCUCAUCGCAUCCUGGGGCUGUAGUCGGUCCCAAGGGUUGGGCUGUUCGCCCAUUAAAGCGGUACGCGAGCUGGGUUCAGAACGUCGUGAGACAGUUCGGUCCCUAUCCGUCGUGGGCGUAGGAAAUUUGAGAGGAGCUGUCCUUAGUACGAGAGGACCGGGAUGGACAUACCUCUGGUGUACCAGUUGUCGUGCCAACGGCAUAGCUGGGUAGCUAUGUGUGGACGGGAUAAGUGCUGAAAGCAUCUAAGCAUGAAGCCCCCCUCAAGAUGAGAUUUCCCAACUUCGGUUAUAAGAUCCCUCAAAGAUGAUGAGGUUAAUAGGUUCGAGGUGGAAGCAUGGUGACAUGUGGAGCUGACGAAUACUAA